GCGGUGCCCGAGGCCGUGGCCGGUGCCCGAGGCGGUGCCCGAUGCCGAGGCGGUCCCCGAUGCCGAGGCGGUGCCCGAGGCGGUUCCCGAUGCAAUGUCCGAUGCCGAGGCGGUGCCCGAUGCCGAGGCGGUGCCCGAUGCCGAGGCGGUGCCCGAGGCGGUGCCCGAUGCGGUGGCCGAGGCGGUUCCCGAUGCAAUGUCCGAUGCCGAGGCGGUGCCCGAUGCGGUGCCAGAGACGGUGCCAGAGACGGUUCCCGAUGUAAUGCCCGAGACCGAUGCUGUUCCGCAGGUCGAGGCGGUGCCCGAGGCUGUGCCCGAUGCCGACACGGUGCCCGAUGCUGUUCCGGAGGCCGAGGCGGUGCCCGAUGCGCAGGCCGAGGUCGUUGCCGAGGCGGUGUCCUUGUCCGAGGUCGAGCCCGAGGCCGUUCCCGAGGCGGAGCCCGAGGUCGUGCCCGAGGCCGUUCCCGAGGCGGUGUCCUUGUCCAAUGCCGUUCCUGAGGCCGUUCCUGAGACCGUUCCCGAGGCGGUGCCCGAUGCCGAGGUCGUUCCCGAGGCGGGGUCCUUGUCCAACGCCGUUCCUGAGGCCAUUCCUGAGGCCAUUCCUGAGACCGUUCCCGAGGCGGUGUCCUUGUCCGAUGCCGUUCCUGAGGCCAUUCCCGAGGCGGUGCCCGAUGCUGUUCCGGAGGCCGAUGCGGGGCCCGAGAUGGUUCCGGAGGCGAUACCCGUGUCCAAGGCCGUUCCCGAGGCGGUGCCCUUGUCUGAGGCCGUUCCCGAUGCCGUUCCCAAUGCCGUGACCUGGCCAUCGCCACAGCCUGCUCCUUACUGGCUCCCCGAUUGGCAGGUUCCGUUCGGGCCACUCAAAUGGCGAAUUCCUCCCUGGCCGUCUGCACAACGAGAAUGGACUGAUCCACCGUGGCCACCUGAACUGCCUGGCCCCUCGUGGUCCCCUGAACUUUCGGGUCCACCGUGGCCACCUGAACUGCCUGGUCCCUCGUGGUCCCCUGAACUUUCGGGUCCACCAUGGCCCCCUGAUCUGAC
Molecule: long non-coding RNA, 1038 nt
Organism: Cyprinus carpio carpio
Lineage: Eukaryota; Metazoa; Chordata; Actinopteri; Cypriniformes; Cyprinidae
Source: Ensembl